This is a non-coding RNA of Candidatus Roizmanbacteria bacterium, 74 nucleotides long. Lineage: Bacteria; Candidatus Roizmaniibacteriota. The record is from Rfam.
GGUCUCGUAGCUCAGCUGGUUAGAGCGUUCGGUUUACAUCCGAAAGGUCGUGGGUUCGAACCCUACCGGGACCA